RNAcentral lists this long non-coding RNA (430 nucleotides) under Carica papaya (papaya). RNAcentral describes it as "long non-coding RNA (CPAP_LNC010961)". The record is from RNAcentral. Lineage: Eukaryota; Viridiplantae; Streptophyta; Magnoliopsida; Brassicales; Caricaceae.
GGCUUGUCAACGACGGGUCUUUUUCUCCCUAACCUUGGGUCACGUGUAGGUUGUCGUGCCUGUGACCCCCGGCUUGUGUGCAUGAGAGGUGUCGUGCACAUGUCACACGUGUCCUGUGUGUAUGUUGGGCAUGCGAGUUGCUCUUACCGCAUGCUUGGGUGCUAUUUCACGUGUGUGAGUCUCUUGACUGUGUAGGUGGGCUUCCAUGCUUAUUACUCACAUGUUGCAAGUGUCUUCCACAGUUGCGUUAGACUUUAGGCCUUUCUUUAUGGUUCAUCAGCGACCAUGUUGCUUACCCAGUCCUGUAUUAUCAUAUUGAAAAUCCUUGAAGCUUGCGAACCUAGCUUCAGGUGAUUGGUCCCACGGGCAACUGGGCUUUUCCCCGUUGGCCCUAAUUCCUCAUGGGCUUUAGUGUCCUGUGCGUCUUCCU